RNAcentral lists this ribosomal RNA (276 nucleotides) under unidentified marine bacterioplankton. RNAcentral describes it as "partial 16S ribosomal RNA". It matches the Rfam family "Bacterial small subunit ribosomal RNA", at positions 59 to 339 of the family's 1533-position model. RNAcentral also lists the same sequence under 1 other name. The record is from RNAcentral.
AAGUCGAACGGUAGCAGUCCUUCGGGAGCUGACGAGUGGCGAACGGGUGAGUAACGCGUAGGAAUAUACCUUUUUGUGGGGGACAACUCGUGGAAACGCGAGCUAAUACCGCAUGUGCUCUUCGGAGUAAAGCUGGGGACCUUCGGGCCUGGUGCAAAGAGAUUAGCCUGCGUCCGAUUAGCUAGUUGGUAGGGUAAAGGCCUACCAAGGCGACGAUCGGUAGCUGGUCUGAGAGGAUGAUCAGCCACACUGGGACUGAGACACGGCCCAGACUCC